RNAcentral lists this ribosomal RNA (1482 nucleotides) under uncultured organism. RNAcentral's name for it is "16S ribosomal RNA". It matches the Rfam family "Bacterial small subunit ribosomal RNA". The record is from RNAcentral.
UGCCUAAUACAUGCAAGUCGAACGAGUUCUGAUUAUUGAAAGGUGCUUGCAUCUUGAUUUAAUUUUGAACGAGUGGCGGACGGGUGAGUAACACGUGGGUAACCUGCCCUUAAGUGGGGGAUAACAUUUGGAAACAGAUGCUAAUACCGCAUAAAUCCAAGAACCGCAUGGUUCUUGGCUGAAAGAUGGCGUAAGCUAUCGCUUUUGGAUGGACCCGCGGCGUAUUAGCUAGUUGGUGAGGUAACGGCUCACCAAGGCAAUGAUACGUAGCCGAACUGAGAGGUUGAUCGGCCACAUUGGGACUGAGACACGGCCCAAACUCCUACGGGAGGCAGCAGUAGGGAAUCUUCCACAAUGGACGCAAGUCUGAUGGAGCAACGCCGCGUGAGUGAAGAAGGCUUUCGGGUCGUAAAACUCUGUUGUUGGAGAAGAAUGGUCGGCAGAGUAACUGUUGUCGGCGUGACGGUAUCCAACCAGAAAGCCACGGCUAACUACGUGCCAGCAGCCGCGGUAAUACGUAGGUGGCAAGCGUUAUCCGGAUUUAUUGGGCGUAAAGCGAGCGCAGGCGGUUUUUUAAGUCUGAUGUGAAAGCCCCUCGGCUUAACCGAGGAAGUGCAUCGGAAACUGGGAAACUUGAGUGCAGAAGAGGACAGUGGAACUCCAUGUGUAGCGGUGAAAUGCGUAGAUAUAUGGAAGAACACCAGUGGCGAAGGCGGCUGUCUGGUCUGUAACUGACGCUGAGGCUCGAAAGCAUGGGUAGCGAACAGGAUUAGAUACCCUGGUAGUCCAUGCCGUAAACGAUGAAUGCUAGGUGUUGGAGGGUUUCCGCCCUUCAGUGCCGCAGCUAACGCAUUAAGCAUUCCGCCUGGGGAGUACGACCGCAAGGUUGAAACUCAAAGGAAUUGACGGGGGCCCGCACAAGCGGUGGAGCAUGUGGUUUAAUUCGAAGCAACGCGAAGAACCUUACCAGGUCUUGACAUCUUUUGAUCACCUGAGAGAUCAGGUUUCCCCUUCGGGGGCAAAAUGACAGGUGGUGCAUGGUUGUCGUCAGCUCGUGUCGUGAGAUGUUGGGUUAAGUCCCGCAACGAGCGCAACCCUUAUGACUAGUUGCCAGCAUUUAGUUGGGCACUCUAGUAAGACUGCCGGUGACAAACCGGAGGAAGGUGGGGAUGACGUCAAAUCAUCAUGCCCCUUAUGACCUGGGCUACACACGUGCUACAAUGGAUGGUACAACGAGUUGCGAGACCGCGAGGUCAAGCUAAUCUCUUAAAGCCAUUCUCAGUUCGGACUGUAGGCUGCAACUCGCCUACACGAAGUCGGAAUCGCUAGUAAUCGCGGAUCAGCACGCCGCGGUGAAUACGUUCCCGGGCCUUGUACACACCGCCCGUCACACCAUGAGAGUUUGUAACACCCGAAGCCGGUGGCGUAACCCUUUUAGGGAGCGAGCCGUCUAAGGUGGGACAAAUGAUUAGGGUGAAGUCG